AUGUAUUUAUUGUUAAAUAGAACUAAGGGCAUCUACUCCAAAUAUUAUAAAAUAAUGAAUAAUAGGUCCUUGAUGAUUAGAUUAAUGACCAUCACAUGCAUAUUUUAUUUAAGGUUCAUCAAGAAAAAGGCACAGUAUUUUCGGGUUGCUUCUUUAUCAGCAGGAUCAGACCAUUUUCAGAUUCUGUCAAAGUGGUGCCACAGCCGCGGUGUGUUUUUCAUCACUGCAAAUCAAAAUCAGACAUUUUUCAGUAAGUUCUUGCACUCACUUUUGCAGCUCAUAAAUAUUGUGAUCUUCAACUGAUAAUUAUGAAUAAGUGUUAGAAGAAUAAUGGAAAACAGCACUAAGUGAGUUUCUGUAGAUCCAAACCAUGUGAGUGCUUCCUUCGGCCACCCACCUCAAGGUCAGCAUUCGCUGGGAAUUACUGUACAUCAACAGAACACCCCCUUUUUUAUAAACCUAGAUAUAGACGGUUCAUGUGAUACUUUGAUACUUCGAUACUCCUGAUUUUUUUCUCCCCCUCGGAGAUCAAAGACCCUCCAUUGAGGAUCAAGCCAUAUGGGGAGAACCUGUAAAAUAUUAUCUGGCAUGCAAUAUCAUACCACAGCGACGGGAGGAAGGCAGGGUGUGCCAGUGAAGAAAGCAUGCCAGCACAUGACUAUGGGAGUUUACAUCAGAACCCAAAUCGUCAAUAUAAACCAUGUGUUCCACUCUCAAGGAACUCCUUGUCUUGAACACAACAUCUUAAUGAGCUCCAUGCUCGGCGGAUGGUGGUUUUCCACAUGACUGAACGGCCCACAGACACACUAAGUCUCAUCUAUUUAGCGGUCACGCCGUUGACUUCCAGGCCACGUUUUAAUGGAAGUCACGUGCUGAUAGGUGACAGUCCGCAGAUACUGCUGCCAGGCCCCACCGGUGACUGCAGCAUUGUUUAUCUGAGUUUAUCUGGCCACAGGUGUGUCUUAUCAGUUACUUAAACUGUAUAAUAGCUAAGAUAUUCAGCUGAAUUAAGCCUAAUUUUGCCCACCGGUUGGAGAAAUUCUUGCACACAGACUUCUACAAAAUUGACGGGAUUAUUUACGGGAUUUUCAUUAAAAUAAAACCACAAAGUAUCUUGAAUGAAGCCA
Molecule: long non-coding RNA, 1127 nt
Organism: Cyprinus carpio (common carp)
Lineage: Eukaryota; Metazoa; Chordata; Actinopteri; Cypriniformes; Cyprinidae
Source: Ensembl